UAAGGAAUAUUGCGCAAUGGGGGAAACCCUGACGCAGCAACGCCGCGUGGGCGACGAAGGUCUUCGGAUCGUAAAGCCCUUUUCUGGGGGACGAGUAAGGACGGUACCUCAGGAAUAAGUCCCGGCUAACUACGUGCCAGCAGCCGCGGGAAAACGUAGGAGGCGAGCGUUAUCCGGAUUUACUGGGCGUAAAGCGCGUGCAGGCGGUCAUGCAAGUUGGGCGUGAAAUCUCCUGGCUUAACUGGGAGGGGUCGUUCAAGACUGUGUGACUUGAGUGCAGGAGAGGGAAGCGGAAUUCCUGGUGUAGCGGUAAUAUGCGCAGAUAUCAGGAGGAACAUCCGUGGCGAAGGCGGCUUCCUGGCCUGUAACUGACGCUCAGACGCGAAAGCUAGGGUAGCGAACGGG
Molecule: ribosomal RNA, 405 nt
Filed under: uncultured prokaryote
Also listed under: 1 other name
Description: bacterial SSU rRNA
Rfam family: Bacterial small subunit ribosomal RNA
Source: RNAcentral